This 390-nucleotide ribosomal RNA is filed under the name uncultured bacterium. Its description in RNAcentral is "bacterial SSU rRNA". It matches the Rfam family "Bacterial small subunit ribosomal RNA", at positions 355 to 761 of the family's 1533-position model. The record is from RNAcentral.
UCGGGAAUUUUGGGCAAUGGGCGAAAGCCUGACCCAGCAACGCCGCGUGAAGGAUGAAGUAUUUCGGUAUGUAAACUUCGAAAGAAUAGGAAGAAUAAAUGACGGUACUAUUUAUAAGGUCCGGCUAACUACGUGCCAGCAGCCGCGGUAAUACGUAGGGACCAAGCGUUGUUCGGAUUUACUGGGCGUAAAGGGCGCGUAGGCGGCAAUUCAAGUCAUCUGUGAAAUCUCCGGGGCUUAACUCGGAACGGUCAGAUGAUACUGCUUUGCUAGAGUGCAGAAGGGGCAAUCGGAAUUCUUGGUGUAGCGGUGAAAUGCGUAGAUAUCAAGAGGAACACCUGAGGUGAAGACGGGUUGCUGGGCUGACACUGACGCUGAGGCGCGAAAGCC